RNAcentral lists this non-coding RNA (89 nucleotides) under Streptomyces sp. Its description in RNAcentral is "ZTP sequence". It matches the Rfam family "ZMP/ZTP riboswitch aptamer (pfl RNA motif)". From Rfam's summary of the family: Previously known as pfl RNA. ZMP is also known as AICAR. RNAcentral also lists the same sequence under 1 other name. Lineage: Bacteria; Bacillati; Actinomycetota; Actinomycetes; Kitasatosporales; Streptomycetaceae. The record is from RNAcentral.
GUGCCGAGCCGUGACUGGCGCUUGGGUGGAGUACCACCGGGGAGCGGCUCGGCCGAGACCGGCCGCUGCCGUGCGCCUGGGCGAUUCCG